UUGUGGUAUUUCUGAUUAUAAAAAUUCAGGAGUAAAAGUAUCAAUACAAUGGAUGCUAUAUAUGGUGACAUUAAGUAUAAAAUUAGUAAUAUAUUGUUUUUUUAUGCAUGAAAAUAAUAAUGACAAAUUUGAUAGUAGUGUUUUUCUAUAUUUAAGUAGGGAUAUGUUGGCUUAUAAUUUAAUAUACUUAACCCCUUUUAUUUAUUUAUUAUUUUUAUUAAGAAGUAAAAAUUUAUUGGAAAAUAUAUUUAAUAAUAAAAUUAUAAAUGAUUAUAUUUUAUGUAUAGAUAUGAAUAUAAUAAACUUAUUUGAUAUAAUUGACUUAGUUUAUAUGUAUACACAUUUAACAAGUUCUUAUAAAAUAAAAACUAUAUGGGCAUUUUAUAACAUUGACUUUACGUUUGUUAUGAUUAUAUUAAUAUUAUGUAUAAUGUUUUUAAUAGGAUUUUAUUUUCCUAUAUAUACAAAUAUUGAAAAAGCAUAUAACUCUAAUGAAUAUGUUACUUUAUAUAGUUUAAAUAGAAAAAGAAGUCAAAAAGCUAAAAAUGAAAAAAAUAGACAAAAAAAAAAAAAAAUAUAUAUGAUCCAAAAAUACAAGAAAAAAAUGAUGAGUCUGUUAAUAAAUAUAAUAACCAAAUAGUAUUAAAAUCGAUAAAUACCAAGAUGUUACAUCCUAAUGAAUCAAAAAAUGUAAAUAUGUUGUCCCAUUAUAACGGUAAAUCAUUAUAUAACAAAUCAUUAACAAUAAAGGAUGGAUCAAUAUCAGAACAAAAUUAUACAAACAAUAUUAACCAUAGUAAUGGUGGUAAUAAUAACAUGUAUAAUAAUCAUGGUAACAAAAAAAAAAAAAAAAAAAAUUUAACAAAAUCGGUAUCGAAACAAUCAUCGAGUAAUUUAUCUUCCAUAUCUAAAGACUUCAAAAAUAAAGUAAAAACAAGCCAUACUUCAUCAACAACAUUAUCUCUUACAUCCAGUUCAUCAUGUUCGAACUCAAUGUCUUCUUCCUCUUCUUCUUUUUCUUCUUCCUCUUCUUCUUCUUCUUCUUCACCUUUUUCUUCUUCUUCUUCUUCUUCUUCCUCUUCACCUUCUUCUUCUUCUUCUUCUUCUUCUUCUUCAUCCACUCUUUCCUCUUCGAGUUUAUCCUCACAGGGUAACUCUUUUCCUUCACACUUCAAACAAAAUUCUUCUUUUUUUUCGAAUAAUGAGCAUGGUUACAACAGUAAAUAUAAUAAUCCACAUUUUCAAAGUUAUAAGGAUGUAUAUACAGAUAUAUAUAUAACAGCGAAGUUUCACUUUAUAGUUGGAUUUUUGUUAAUCGAUGUCCCUUUCUUAAUUUAUAGACUCAUAUUUUUUAUAAAAUACAAAAAUAUAAUGACUCUUAUCAUAAAAAAUAUUUUAUUUUUACUUUUUCGUUCUUACAAAUUAAACGAAUAUCGCUUUAUGGAAAAGGAAAAACAUAAAAAAAAUAAAAGAAACAUAAACUUAGAAAUUUAUAAUACUUCUAAUUUUGGCAGUGCAUCAACUGAUUAUAUACAUAAUUCUAGUUUUGAAAAAAAAAGGCAUAAAAGACAUAAAAAACAUAAAAAACAAAAGAACAAAAAAAAACUGUUAAAACCAAAUAUCAUCGGAUUCAAAUCAAAGUCGUCGGUGUUUGAAACAAUAGCAAACGCGUUCAAAGCAAAAUCACAUACGUUUAUAAAAAAUAAUAUAGACAUUGAAUUAGAAAAAGAACAAAAGGAUAAAACACUAAAUCAAAAAAAAAAAAAAAAAACUUCUGUACGUAUAGCGAAAACUAUAGGGAGUAAAGAAUUAAUACAAAAUCAGAAUGAGAAAAAAAAAUGUUUAUUUUUAAAAAAAAAAAAAAAAGAUAAAAAAUAAAAAAAAAAAAAAAAAAAGAUAUGGUAUAUUUAAAAUAUUUAAAGAUGAAUUUAAAGAAAAUAAAAAAAAACUUUUACUUGAUAAAUAUUAUGCA
Piliocolobus tephrosceles (Ugandan red Colobus) is the source of this 1972-nucleotide long non-coding RNA. The record is from Ensembl. NCBI's taxonomy places the organism in Eukaryota, Metazoa, Chordata, Mammalia, Primates, Cercopithecidae.